GAUGAACGCUGGCGGCGUGCCUAAUACAUGCAAGUCGAGCGAACAGACGAGGAGCUUGCUCCUCUGACGUUAGCGGCGGACGGGUGAGUAACACGUGGAUAACCUACCUAUAAGACUGGGAUAACUUCGGGAAACCGGAGCGAAUACCGGAUAAUAUAUUGAACGGCAUGGUUCAAUAGUGAAAGACGGUUUUGCUGUCACUUAUAGAUGGAUCCGCGCCGCAUUAGCUAGUUGGUAAGGUAACGGCUUACCAAGGCAUCGAUGCGUAGCCGACCUGAGAGGGUGAUCGGCCACACUGGAACUGAGACACGGUCCAGACUCCUACGGGAGGCAGCAGUAGGGAAUCUUCCGCAAAGGGCGAAAGCUUGACGGAGCAACGCCGCGUGAGUGAUGAAGGUCUUCGGAUCGUAAAACUCUGUUAUUAGGGAAGAACAAAUGUGUAAGUAACUAUGCACGUCUUGACGGUACCUAAUCAGAAAGCCACGGCUAACUACGUG
This 497-nucleotide ribosomal RNA is filed under the name uncultured bacterium. Its description in RNAcentral is "partial 16S ribosomal RNA". It matches the Rfam family "Bacterial small subunit ribosomal RNA", at positions 28 to 507 of the family's 1533-position model. The record is from RNAcentral.